GACGAACGCUGGCGGCGUGCUUAACACAUGCAAGUCGAACGGAAAGGCCCUGCUUUUGUGGGGUGCUCGAGUGGCGAACGGGUGAGUAACACGUGAGUAACCUGCCCUUGACUUUGGGAUAACUUCAGGAAACUGGGGCUAAUACCGGAUAGGAGCUCCUGCUGCAUGGUGGGGGUUGGAAAGUUUCGGCGGUUGGGGAUGGACGCGAGGCUUAUCAGCUUGAUGGUGGGGUAGUGACUUACCAAGGCUUUGACGGGUAGCCGGCCUGAGAGGGUGACCGGCAACAUUGGGACUAAGAUACGCAGCAGCCUCCUACGGGGGGCAGCAGUCGGGAAUAUUGCACAAUGGGCGGAAGCCUAAUGCAGCAACGCCGCGUUCGGGAUGACGGCCUUCAGGUUGUAAACCGCUUUCGGCUGUGACGAAGCGUUAGUGACGGUAAUGGGUAAAGAAGCACCGGCUAACUACGUG
This 468-nucleotide ribosomal RNA is filed under the name uncultured bacterium. RNAcentral describes it as "partial 16S ribosomal RNA". It matches the Rfam family "Bacterial small subunit ribosomal RNA", at positions 28 to 507 of the family's 1533-position model. The record is from RNAcentral.